This 253-nucleotide ribosomal RNA is filed under the name uncultured bacterium. RNAcentral's name for it is "partial 16S ribosomal RNA". It matches the Rfam family "Bacterial small subunit ribosomal RNA", at positions 524 to 776 of the family's 1533-position model. The record is from RNAcentral.
UACGUAGGGGGCAAGCGUUAUCCGGAAUUAUUGGGCGUAAAGCGCGCGUAGGCGGUAAAGUAAGUCUGAUGUGAAAGCCCCCGGCUCAACCGGGGAGGGUCAUUGGAAACUGUUGUACUUGAGUACAGAAGAGGAGAGUGGAAUUCCAGGUGUAGCGGUGAAAUGCGCAGAGAUAUGGAGGAACACCAGUGGCGAAGGCGGCUCUCUGGUCUGUUACUGACGCUGAGGUGCGAAAGCGUGGGGAGCAAACAGG